AUUAAUGAAAUUCCCUUUCUCUUCCCUCUCUCUCUUUCACCGACGGUUUCUCUCAUUUCUCCAUGGCAGUUUCUUCAAUUUCUUCCAUAGAUUUCUUCUCUGCUUUUUCAAUUCUCCAAAUUUAACAUGGUAUCAGAGCGCAAAUUCGCUGCGUGCCUCUGAUUACCUCUAUCUUCUCUAUCUUUUGUUUUGAUUUUUCAUUUUUUUUCAUAGCUAGGGUUUGUGAGUUUGAUUCAUGAGAGUUUUUCGCCAAGUCUCUCACCGGAUUCAGUCUUCACCGGUGCUCCAGGCACUUUCUGCCAAGUUUUCAAGUUCAAAUCUCUGUUAUCUAGCCUCUUGUUUGGCUUUUGUUUGAAUUGGAGGAAGAGCACCUGAUAAUGCAGGUUCCUACAACUCCAAACUGCAACACAAGUUUCUUUUGUGAUGAAGGUGACUCAAGUCUAUGAAGUUGCUGCUGAAAUUUGGGGUGGCGCUUGAUUUAAACUUUUUUCGGCAGUUCCCGACUUCUCUUAUAUCAACAAUCAAAUGUUAUUUUGGAUAUACUAGAAUUGGAGAAUAAAUGUAAUUAGGAUUUAGUAGUUUGUAGUUGUUUUGUUGUUGUGUUUGUGGUCAAGAUGCUUCCAUCUUGAGGGGGGCUAUUAGAGUAUUGUUAGUUAGCUUAUUUCCAGCCUAUAUAUAAGGCAAAUUAAUGUAGUUUGUAAACCAACUUUUCCACAAUGUAGUCAUUAAUGAAAUUCCCUUUCUCUUCA
This is a long non-coding RNA of Salvia splendens (bonfire salvia), 749 nucleotides long. RefSeq lists it as uncharacterized. NCBI's taxonomy places the organism in Eukaryota, Viridiplantae, Streptophyta, Magnoliopsida, Lamiales, Lamiaceae. The record is from RefSeq and is a predicted model, not a curated record. The transcript is spliced from 2 exons.